Molecule: non-coding RNA, 199 nt
Organism: Coffea arabica (coffee)
Lineage: Eukaryota; Viridiplantae; Streptophyta; Magnoliopsida; Gentianales; Rubiaceae
Source: RefSeq, a predicted model, not a curated record
AUUUAGAGUUGCGGUGGAUUCUAGUCUGGAAGUGUAGUUUUCAAUAUAACCAGCAUCACUGGUCGCUAGCGUAUUUUCGGAAGGAAGCAGUAGAAAGCCAUGAAGUAACGCGUGACAAGAUAGGAGAAUUCCCAAGUAUUUGGAUUCAGUUCAAUCGCAGAGCACAUUGCGCUGAAAUGGACCUUGAUAAAGAAUAAAC